GAUGAACGCUGGCGGCGUGCUUAACACAUGCAAGUCGAGCGAAGCGGCUGAAUUGAUUCUUCGGAUGAUUUUCAGUUGACUGAGCGGCGGACGGGUGAGUAACGCGUGGGUGACCUGCCCCAUACCGGGGGAUAACAGCUGGAAACGGCUGCUAAUACCGCAUAAGCGCACGAAGCUGCAUGGCUUUGUGUGAAAAACUCCGGUGGUAUGGGAUGGGCCCGCGUCUGAUUAGGCAGUUGGCGGGGUAACGGCCCACCAAACCGACGAUCAGUAGCCGGCCUGAGAGGGCGACCGGCCACAUUGGGACUGAGACACGGCCCAAACUCCUACGGGAGGCAGCAGUGGGGAAUAUUGCACAAUGGGGGAAACCCUGAUGCAGCGACGCCGCGUGAGCGAAGAAGUAUUUCGGUAUGUAAAGCUCUAUCAGCAGGGAAGAUAAUGACGGUACCUGACUAAGAAGCCCCGGCUAACUACGUGCCAGCAGCCGCGGUAGUACGUAGGGGGCAAGCGUUAUCCGGAUUUACUGGGUGUAAAGGGAGCGUAGACGGCAAGGCAAGUCUGAUGUGAAAACCCAGGGCUUAACCCUGGGACUGCAUUGGAAACUGUCUGGCUCGAGUGCCGGAGAGGUAAGUGGAAUUCCUAGUGUAGCGGUGAAAUGCGUAGAUAUUAGGAAGAACACCGGUGGCGAAGGCGGCUUACUGGA
This 703-nucleotide ribosomal RNA is filed under the name uncultured Lachnospiraceae bacterium. Its description in RNAcentral is "bacterial SSU rRNA". It matches the Rfam family "Bacterial small subunit ribosomal RNA", at positions 28 to 733 of the family's 1533-position model. The record is from RNAcentral. Lineage: Bacteria; Bacillati; Bacillota; Clostridia; Lachnospirales; Lachnospiraceae.